This 288-nucleotide ribosomal RNA is filed under the name uncultured bacterium. RNAcentral's name for it is "partial 16S ribosomal RNA". It matches the Rfam family "Bacterial small subunit ribosomal RNA", at positions 773 to 1060 of the family's 1533-position model. The record is from RNAcentral.
GUGGUUUAGAUACCCGAGUAGUCCACGCCGUAAACGGUGGGUACUAGGUGUGGGGAACAUUCCACGUUCUCCGUGCCGCAGCUAACGCAUUAAGUACCCCGCCUGGGGAGUACGGCCGCAAGGCUAAAACUCAAAGGAAUUGACGGGGCCCCGCACAAGCGGCGGAGCAUGCGGAUUAAUUCGAUGCAACGCGAAGAACCUUACCUGGGUUUGACAUAUACCGGAAACAUCUAGAGAUAGGUGCCCCUUUUUGGUCGGUAUACAGGUGGUGCACGGUUGUCGUCAGCU